RNAcentral lists this ribosomal RNA (254 nucleotides) under uncultured bacterium. RNAcentral's name for it is "partial 16S ribosomal RNA". It matches the Rfam family "Bacterial small subunit ribosomal RNA", at positions 524 to 776 of the family's 1533-position model. The record is from RNAcentral.
GACGAACCGUGCGAACGUUCUUCGGAAUCCCUGGGCUUAAAGCGCGUGUAGGCUGGACGGCACGUCGGUCGCUGAAAGCCCCCGGCUCAACCGGGGAACGGGCGCCGAUACGACCGGCCUGGAGGGACGUAGGGGGACCUGGAACUUCCGGUGGAGCGGUGAAAUGCGUUGAGAUCGGAAGGAACGCCCGUGGCGAAAGCGAGGUCCUGGACGUUUUCUGACGCUGAGACGUGAAAGCCAGGGGAGCGAACGGG